CCAGACUCCUACGGGAGGCAGCAGUGGGGAAUAUUGCACAAUGGGGGAAACCCUGAUGCAGCGACGCCGCGUGAAGGACGAAGUAUUUCGGUACGUAAACUUCUAUCAGCAGGGAAGAAAAUGACGGUACCUGACCAAGAAGCCCCGGCUAACUACGUGCCAGCAGCCGCGGUAAUACGUAGGGGGCAAGCGUUAUCCGGAUUUACUGGGUGUAAAGGGAGCGUAGACGGCCGUGCAAGUCUGAUGUGAAAACCCGGGGCUCAACCCCGGGACUGCAUUGGAAACUGCAUGGCUGGAGUGUCGGAGAGGCAAGUGGAAUUCCUAGUGUAGCGGUGAAAUGCGUAGAUAUUAGGAGGAACACCAGUGGCGAAGGCGGCUUGCUGGACGACGACUGACGUUGAGGCUCGAAAGCGUGGGGAGCAAACAGGAUUAGAUACCCCAGUAUU
Molecule: ribosomal RNA, 446 nt
Filed under: uncultured bacterium
Lineage: Bacteria
Description: bacterial SSU rRNA
Rfam family: Bacterial small subunit ribosomal RNA
Source: RNAcentral